This 26-nucleotide ribosomal RNA is filed under the name Collybiopsis pseudomphalodes. RNAcentral describes it as "Gymnopus pseudo-omphalodes partial large subunit ribosomal RNA". Lineage: Eukaryota; Fungi; Basidiomycota; Agaricomycetes; Agaricales; Omphalotaceae. The record is from RNAcentral.
AUUUGACCUCAAANCAGGUAGGACUA